UAUAUGGUACCUCCAUCCCUUCUGGCAAAGGAGGGCCCCUUAUUUACAAAUGACCACAAAGUGUUAGCACCACAUUUUAUUAGCAGAACAUGUGAACACGUGGUGACAGUGACGCUCACCUGUUUGCUUCUGCUUCCCAGUGCAACUUCAGCCUCCAUCAGAGGACCUCAGCUGCCCCAGCGAACAGGGCCUUCUGUACAGGGAAUGUGCUCCUCCUCGAAGCAUAGACAAGAAGCAGCCCUUAGAUCUCAUCAGGAAAUUCUACGGAGAGAAGGUCGGAAUCUACUUUGCUUGGGCUGGGCUAUUACAUUCAGAUGCUCCUCCUGGCAGCAGUCGUGGGGGUGACUUGCUUUCUGAAGAAGAGCGUGUUCCAUUUACCACCUGGGGAAAGUGUAUACAUAUAACCCUUUGUGCAAGUGCUCUUUUUCUGGAACCUGAAUGGAGGCGACCAGUUCCGGAAGUACUUGACUGUGCAGGUGGGCCAUGCCCAUCACUGCUUCCCUCAUCAGUUUUAUCAUCAUCGUGACCCUGAACACCAUAUAUGAGAAAGUGGCAAUCAUGAUGACUGACUCUGCUACAGAGAUCCCAAGGACCAGACUGACUGUGGGAACAACCUAGCCAUGAAGGUGUUCUUCUUCCAGUUUGUCAACUACUACUCCUCGUGUUUCUACAUCACAUUCUUUAAGGGCAGAUUUGUGACUUAUCCUGGAGAUCUGGUGUAUUGGCUGUGAAAAUACAGAAAUGAAGACGUGUGAAUACAGCUUUGUGUUCGGACAGUCUAACCUGUUUCAUGUUUUCUCUUAGUUGCCCAAUGAAGAGUGUCUUUACUCUCUGUUCCUUAGAUUUUUUUAGGCAUAAAAUAAUGACUUUAUUUCAUGUUAGAGCUAUCUAAAAUUUAAAUGAGAUUUUCUUUCUAAUAUUCCAGUGUGACCCAGGUGGCUGUCUCCUUGAACUGAUGAUGCAGCUGACAAUAAUCAUGGGAGGACAGUCCAUCUGGAAUAACAUACAAGAGGUGUUACUUCCGUGCUUCUCAUGUGUAAGUUGGUAUCCCUGCACGAGAACCAUAAAUCAACAGAAAACCCAAAAGACCGAGGACAAUGAUGGGUAGACGACAGCCCAAUCUUUUCUGCCACAGAAGAGUGGUUCCACUCAGGAAGACUGAGCAAGAGGCUCAGAGCCUUAGCUAAGGACAAGCAAGUCGGGACUUCUAAUACGACCUAAUGCCAUCGACGGGGGAGGGCAGUUCAGCACAAGAAGGGAGCACCGGGUGAGUUAACAUGGAAGUUACAUCCUGGAUCCAAACCGUGAUGGAUUUGGGUCCCGGAGGGUUAAAGCCCUCCUUCCGUGGGGCUUGGACCGCAUUCCACAAGAGGCUGAGACAGGAAU
This is a long non-coding RNA of Camelus dromedarius (Arabian camel), 1386 nucleotides long. RefSeq lists it as uncharacterized. The record is from RefSeq and is a predicted model, not a curated record. The transcript is spliced from 6 exons. NCBI's taxonomy places the organism in Eukaryota, Metazoa, Chordata, Mammalia, Artiodactyla, Camelidae.